This 567-nucleotide ribosomal RNA is filed under the name Colletotrichum higginsianum. Its description in RNAcentral is "eukaryotic LSU rRNA". It matches the Rfam family "Eukaryotic large subunit ribosomal RNA", at positions 71 to 665 of the family's 3401-position model. Lineage: Eukaryota; Fungi; Ascomycota; Sordariomycetes; Glomerellales; Glomerellaceae. The record is from RNAcentral.
GGGAUUGCCCCAGUAACGGCGAGUGAAGCGGCAACAGCUCAAAUUUGAAAUCUGGCCCCAGGCCCGAGUUGUAAUUUGCAGAGGAUGCUUUUGGCGCGGUGCCUUCCGAGUUCCCUGGAACGGGACGCCAUAGAGGGUGAGAGCCCCGUACGGUUGGACACCAAGCCUUUGUAAAGCUCCUUCGACGAGUCGAGUAGUUUGGGAAUGCUGCUCAAAAUGGGAGGUAUAUUUCUUCUAAAGCUAAAUAUAGGCCAGAGACCGAUAGCGCACAAGUAGAGUGAUCGAAAGAUGAAAAGCACUUUGAAAAGAGGGUUAAACAGCACGUGAAAUUGUUAAAAGGGAAGCGCUUGUGACCAGACUUGCGUCCGGUGAAUCACCCAGCUCUCGCGGCUGGGGCACUUCGCCGGCACAGGCCAGCAUCAGCUUGCCGUCGGGGACAAAAGCUUCAGGAACGUAGCUCUCUUCGGGGAGUGUUAUAGCCUGUUGCAUAAUACCCUUCGGCGGGCUGAGGUACGCGCUCCGCAAGGAUGCUGGCGUANUGGUCAUCAGCGACCCGUCUUGANCNGA